RNAcentral lists this ribosomal RNA (429 nucleotides) under Gemmatimonadota bacterium. RNAcentral describes it as "Gemmatimonadetes bacterium partial 16S ribosomal RNA". It matches the Rfam family "Bacterial small subunit ribosomal RNA", at positions 355 to 776 of the family's 1533-position model. Lineage: Bacteria; Pseudomonadati; Gemmatimonadota. The record is from RNAcentral.
UAGGGAAUCUUCGGCAAUGGACGAAAGUCUGACCGAGCAACGCCGCGUGAGUGAAGAAGGUUUUCGGAUCGUAAAACUCUGUUUUUAGAGAAGAACAAGGACGUUAGUAACUGAACGUCCCCUGACGGUAUCUAACCAGAAAGCCACGGCUAACUACGUGCCAGCAGCCGCGGUAAUACGUAGGUGGCAAGCGUUGUCCGGAUUUAUUGGGCGUAAAGCGAGCGCAGGCGGUUUCUUAAGUCUGAUGUGAAAGCCCCCGGCUCAACCGGGGAGGGUCAUUGGAACCUGGGAGACUGGAGUGCAGAAGAGGAGAGUGUAAUUCCAUGUGUAGCGGUGAAAUGCGUAGAUAUAUGGAGGCACACCAGUGGCGAAGGCGGCUCUCUGGUUUGUAACUGACGCUGAGGCUCGAAAGCGUGGGGAGCAAACAGG